Molecule: ribosomal RNA, 470 nt
Filed under: bacterium Ellin209
Lineage: Bacteria; Pseudomonadati; Pseudomonadota; Betaproteobacteria
Description: bacterial SSU rRNA
Rfam family: Bacterial small subunit ribosomal RNA
Source: RNAcentral
AUGGUCAGAUUGAACGCUGGCGGCAUGCCUUACACAUGCAAGUCGAACGGUAACAGGUUAAGCUGACGAGUGGCGAACGGGUGAGUAAUGUAUCGGAACGUGCCCAGUAGUGGGGGAUAGCCCGGCGAAAGCCGGAUUAAUACCGCAUACGACCUACGGGUGAAAGCGGGGGAUCGCAAGACCUCGCGCUAUUGGAGCGGCCGAUAUCAGAUUAGGUAGUUGGUGAGGUAAAGGCUCACCAAGCCGACGAUCUGUAGCUGGUCUGAGAGGACGACCAGCCACACUGGGACUGAGACACGGCCCAGACUCCUACGGGAGGCAGCAGUGGGGAAUUUUGGACAAUGGAWRMRRRUGUGAUCCAGCCAUGCCGCGUGCGGGAAGAAGGCCUUCGGGUUGUAAACCGCUUUUGUCAGGGAAGAAAAGUCUGGAGCUAAUAUCCUCYGGACGAUGACGGUACCUGAAGAAUAAGC